GUCCCUGUAAUGCAAUGGAUAGCAUUUUGGACUUCUAAUCCAGAGGUCAUAAGUUAGAAUCUUACCUGGGAUG
Trichonephila clavipes is the source of this 73-nucleotide non-coding RNA. The record is from the annotation of a GenBank genome assembly. NCBI's taxonomy places the organism in Eukaryota, Metazoa, Arthropoda, Arachnida, Araneae, Nephilidae.